RNAcentral lists this long non-coding RNA (3567 nucleotides) under Linum usitatissimum (flax). RNAcentral describes it as "long non-coding RNA (LUSI_LNC007707)". The record is from RNAcentral. Lineage: Eukaryota; Viridiplantae; Streptophyta; Magnoliopsida; Malpighiales; Linaceae.
CUACAAAACCAUCAAAUGAAGUAGCCGAGAGUGAAAAUCGAAUACUAUAACGAGUCAAGCAAAACUGAACUGCACCUUCCAAUUUGUUUUGGCUCACAUCUUGUAGUAGAAGAUGGCGGAUUCUCCAGUAGGAGCAGCAGGUAUGAGAUGCUCAUCAAUCACAACCAUGACAUCGUUGCAGAUAUCGGUCAGCUCAUUCUCGACUUUGGUCCUGUACUCUUUAAUCCUCUUAGCAUUCACUUCGUUGCCUCUCGACUCUUCCUUCUGCUCAAUGGACGACAGAAUCCUCCACGACGCUCGCCGAGCACCGAUCACGUUCUUGUAGCCAACAGAGAGCAAGUUCCUCUCCUCGAUCGUCAGCUCCACAUCUAGCUUCGCCAAAUUCUUCAUCGCUUCCACCAUUUCUGCAACGUAAAGCAGAUUAAACAAUCGGAUUUCUACUUAUCAGCUCCGAUGCAAAUUAGGUCAUAAGAGCGACUUGAUUUUCUCAAGUGAAGAGGAAUCGGAGAGCAAAAGAAGUCGAGCAAAAUUCUGGAGGAAUCGCUUACCUUCGUAGCGUUCAGCUUGCUCGGCGAGCUUGGCAGUGUAGACGAAUUGGUCUCUUUCAGCCAUGGCGAUAGAGGAAGGUAAAGCUCUGAUUGAACCAGAAAUGGUGCGAGUUGGUGAAGAGUGAGAGAGUAGGAGGAUGAAGAAGAAGAAAUCAAUGAGAGGUUUUAUGAAGGACAAGGACAGAAAUGGAACUUCACAGCUGGGAGUGGGUGGGGGGUAAAAGUGUCAAAUCGCGUCACGCUUGUCGGAUUAGCUGUCGGAAUGUUUUCAUUUGCUUCUCUUUCUUCUCUUUCCGGUACAACUUUACCGUCUGCAUAUAAAAAUAAUAAAGGAGUCGUCGUCGUCGCCGGCGUAAUGAAAAAGUCAAAUUGACUGCGUAAAAGACAAUUAAGAGUAAUUUUUACUACUAAAUAAGAAAAGAGCCAACGACACUGUCAACAUUUCCUCGUCCAUGUCGAAAAUAAAUCAAGAUCGAAAUGAAAGAGACAUGAAUCCAUAAUGGUUUAAUUGUACGCAAUCAGAUUAUAUAAAAGUUAAAGGUAACGAAUCGCAUAUUACAAAAUAUGUAAGAAUCAACGUUGAAACAUAAAAAAGAAGUUAAAAUAUUAUCGUCGGAGUGAGUGUGACUGACUCCUGCCUUGAAAGACUCUCCGAUGUUUGCUACGGGGCGAAACCAACGGCAUUUUUGUACACAUGAUAAGUAGCACCAUGGCUCCAUCACCUUGAAAGCGUGUAUGUGUUUUCAGUUAAAGUUUGUGUAACCGUAACCUUUUACUGUAACUGAUGCUCCACUUUGCUGCAUAAAGCAAAGGCAGUUUCGGUUUAGCUGUUUGCAAAAAGUUGUUGACGUCCCCGCGUUUCAUUAUUACCUCGGAGAGGUUCAAAUUAUAAAGCUGUAGGGACAGUGGCACGAGCCAUGUUUUGGAAGGGGCACUGGCGCUUGCUGUUUAAGGUUAUACAAAUGAGUUCGAGUUCGGCUAGAGUAAUUGGUUAAGUUCGUUUGCAAGUCUUAACAAGUCGAGUAAUUGGAUAAACUCAAUUUAGUAAUGGUACGAGCUGAUUCGCGAGCCAACCGAGCCUAGCCAGGGUUGGCUCGUGCUCACAUCGUGUAUUAUCGUGCAGGCUCACAAGAAGGCUUGUUUUGAAAUCGAGUCGAGUCUCGAUCAAUUUUUUUUCCUGAGCCGAACGACCGAAUUGCUGCAAGACAUAGACCGAGCAGCAAUAACCAGUACACACAGCUGAAGAAGCAGUCCAGCUUUGAACUCAUAUUAGCACAUCGACUAUAUCGUCUAGGUUGCGGGUUCGGCUUAAGAACCUUGCGCUAUAAACCAUUAGUCUCAACGGCUCAACCCUGGUACCAUUUCACUGAACUAGCCGAAAAUCAGCACUAGCCAGAAGGUGGUAAAAAAUGUGAACCCGAUGCUUUUUCCAUCAAGCAUCAUCAUACUUCAGUUGGAUCACAAUAACAGAACACAGAUUGCAGAGUACUGGACACUGUUUAUUAAUUUGGUACAAACUUACAAGUUUACAUUACAGGAUUGCUUCUCCAUUCACAAAGAAGAAAAAGCAAAGUGCACGCAAUUCGAGGGAGCCAUAGAAGAGGGAAGACUUUAUUUUUCAUAGAAAGCUAUAACUUAAACAAGCUCAGCUUUAGUAUGCCGCAAGCGUUACGAAAAAACAACAAAACUACGCAGAGAAGACUUGAAUGGCAAGGAAGAUAGAUGACAAAGGUUUAGCCUGUGUUUUGAAGGCCGGCAGCAAUACCUUUCAUGGUCAGAAUGAGAGUGUCUUCCAGGCCGGGAGCAUACUCGCUCGUCGGGUUAAGCUUCAACAGCUCAGCAGCGGGCUUCAUCCCAUCGUUGUAUUCCUUGGACAGGUGGGGCCUCAGGGCCACGUGGUAGUCAGGGUCUCGAACACGCUUCAGGGUGUAAGCUUGGGAGACGUUGAGGGUUGUGAUAUAUGCAUCGCGGAGACGAAGCCUCUGCUUCAGGUAUGGAUCUCCUUCCAACACUUCUUUGUGGCCAGCAAUCUGUAAUAAUGGAUACAAAGGGUUGCUUGAUUCGUUUCGUUAUCGUUCUUGAUAUGUUAUAAACUUAAAAUGGUAAAAUUCAUGAAUAAGUUACCUGGAGGAGGAAGUCCUUAGUUUGAAGGUACUUGGAUCUCAACUGGUCACCAAACGGACGCAAUUCUGGUGACACGAGGAGCUUGUCGUACAGAGCAGCAAUCUCGGGAUCGCCCUUGGCGAAAACCAUUUCGACCAGAUCAAUCGUGACUCGGAAGAACGGCCACUGGUUGUACAUAUCUUGAAGCAUUUUGAGGUUUUUGAUAUCCUUGUCGAUAACAUGCUUGAAAGCAGCUCCGAAGCCGAGCCAUACUGGUAAAUGGAAUCUUGUCUGUGUCCAGGCGAAAAUCCAUGGGAUCGCACGAAGCGAUUCUAUGCCUCCGCUUGGCUUUCUCCUCUCGACUCUUCCUUCUGCUCAAUGGACGACAGAAUCCUCCACGACGCUCGCCGAGCACCGAUCACGUUCUUGUAGCCAACAGAGAGCAAGUUCCUCUCCUCGAUCGUCAGCUCCACAUCUAGCUUCGCCAAAUUCUUCAUCGCUUCCACCAUUUCUGCAACGUAAAGCAGAUUAAACAAUCGGAUUUCUACUUAUCAGCUCCGAUGCAAAUUAGGUCAUAAGAGCGACUUGAUUUUCUCAAGUGAAGAGGAAUCGGAGAGCAAAAGAAGUCGAGCAAAAUUCUGGAGGAAUCGCUUACCUUCGUAGCGUUCAGCUUGCUCGGCGAGCUUGGCAGUGUAGACGAAUUGGUCUCUUUCAGCCAUGGCGAUAGAGGAAGGUAAAGCUCUGAUUGAACCAGAAAUGGUGCGAGUUGGUGAAGAGUGAGAGAGUAGGAGGAUGAAGAAGAAGAAAUCAAUGAGAGGUUUUAUGAAGGACAAGGACAGAAAUGGAACUUCACAGCUGGGAGUGGGUGGGGGGUAAAAGUGUCAAAUCGCGUCACGCUUGUCGGAUUAGCUGUCGG